Long non-coding RNA from Perca fluviatilis (European perch), 306 nucleotides. RefSeq lists it as uncharacterized. The transcript is spliced from 3 exons. The record is from RefSeq and is a predicted model, not a curated record. NCBI's taxonomy places the organism in Eukaryota, Metazoa, Chordata, Actinopteri, Perciformes, Percidae.
UUUCUGUCGGGACAGAGUCAGGUCCACCGCAGGACCCUGAGCCUUUGUCUUAAACAUCUCCUCAAACUCCUCCACGUUCAGAUCCUGGGAGACAGACAGGAUAGCCUCGUCGUCGAUGUCGUUAAAGACGGUCCCGUUGAUCUGACUCGGCUUCAGAGCGACCCAGUUCAACACCGGCAUCCGGAACUUCGUCUGGAUUGGCUUCUUUAUCUUCACCGCUGCACAGAGAGACAGACAGAGUUGAUCAGGUGAUCUAUAUCAGCGCUGUGAUUGGUGGAGCUGACGCUCACCUGUGCCUGGCAUCGG